UAUGUCCUGUUUCAAAUAUAGUAUCUAAUGUAGACGAAUUAAUUUGUGUACAAAGCUAGAGUACGUAAGGAAAAGGAAAGGUUAACCGCUAUCAAA
This 96-nucleotide ribosomal RNA is filed under the name Plasmodium malariae. The record is from RNAcentral. Lineage: Eukaryota; Apicomplexa; Aconoidasida; Haemosporida; Plasmodiidae.